GGGUUGUGAGGUUAAGCGACUAAGCGUACACGGUGGAUGCCCUGGCAGUCAGAGGCGAUGAAGGACGUGCUAAUCUGCGAAAAGCGUCGGUAAGGUGAUAUGAACCGUUAUAGCCGGCGAUGUCCGAAUGGGGAAACCCAGUGUGAUUCGUCACACUAUCGUUAACUGAAUACAUAGGUUAACGAGGCGAACCGGGGGAACUGAAACAUCUAAGUACCCCGAGGAAAAGAAAUCAACCGAGAUUCCCCCAGUAGCGGCGAGCGAACGGGGAGCAGCCCAGAGUCUGAAUCAGCUUGUGUGUUAGUGGAACGGUCUGGAAAGUCCGACGGUACAGGGUGAUAGUCCCGUACACCAAAAUGCACAGGCUGUGAACUCGAAGAGUAGGGCGGGACACGUGGUAUCCUGUCUGAAUAUGGGGGGACCAUCCUCCAAGGCUAAAUACUCCUGACUGACCGAUAGUGAACCAGUACCGUGAGGGAAAGGCGAAAAGAACCCCGGCGAGGGGAGUGAAAAAGAACCUGAAACCGUGUACGUACAAGCAGUGGGAGCACCUUCGGGUGUGACUGCGUACCUUUUGUAUAAUGGGUCAGCGACUUAUAUUCUGUAGCAAGGUUAACCGUAUAGGGGAGCCGCAGGGAAACCGAGUCUUAACUGGGCGUUAAGUUGCAGGGUAUAGACCCGAAACCCGGUGAUCUAGCCAUGGGCAGGUUGAAGGUUGGGUAACACUAACUGGAGGACCGAACCGACUAAUGUUGAAAAAUUAGCGGAUGACUUGUGGCUGGGGGUGAAAGGCCAAUCAAACCGGGAGAUAGCUGGUUCUCCCCGAAAGCUAUUUAGGUAGCGCCUCGUGAACUCAUCUUCGGGGGUAGAGCACUGUUUCGGCUAGGGGGUCAUCCCGACUUACCAACCCGAUGCAAACUACGAAUACCGAAGAAUGUUAUCACGGGAGACACACGGCGGGUGCUAACGUCCGUCGUGAAGAGGGAAACAACCCAGACCGCCAGCUAAGGUCCCAAAGUCAUGGUUAAGUGGGAAACGAUGUGGGAAGGCACAGACAGCCAGGAUGUUGGCUUAGAAGCAGCCAUCAUUUAAAGAAAGCGUAAUAGCUCACUGGUCGAGUCGGCCUGCGCGGAAGAUGUAACGGGGCUAAACCAUGCACCGAAGCUGCGGCAGCGACACUAUGUGUUGUUGGGUAGGGGAGCGUUCUGUAAGCCUGCGAAGGUGUGCUGUGAGGCAUGCUGGAGGUAUCAGAAGUGCGAAUGCUGACAUAAGUAACGAUAAAGCGGGUGAAAAGCCCGCUCGCCGGAAGACCAAGGGUUCCUGUCCAACGUUAAUCGGGGCAGGGUGAGUCGACCCCUAAGGCGAGGCCGAAAGGCGUAGUCGAUGGGAAACAGGUUAAUAUUCCUGUACUUGGUGUUACUGCGAAGGGGGGACGGAGAAGGCUAUGUUAGCCGGGCGACGGUUGUCCCGGUUUAAGCAUGUAGGCUGGUUGUCCAGGCAAAUCCGGAUAAUCAAGGCUGAGGUGUGAUGACGAGGUACUACGGUGCUGAAGUAACAAAUGCCCUGCUUCCAGGAAAAGCCUCUAAGCAUCAGGUAACAUCAAAUCGUACCCCAAACCGACACAGGUGGUCAGGUAGAGAAUACCAAGGCGCUUGAGAGAACUCGGGUGAAGGAACUAGGCAAAAUGGUGCCGUAACUUCGGGAGAAGGCACGCUGGUGUGUAGGUGAAGUCCCUGCGGAUGGAGCUGAGACCAGUCGAAGAUACCAGCUGGCUGCAACUGUUUAUUAAAAACACAGCACUGUGCAAACACGAAAGUGGACGUAUACGGUGUGACGCCUGCCCGGUGCCGGAAGGUUAAUUGAUGGGGUUAUCCGUAAGGAGAAGCUCUUGAUCGAAGCCCCGGUAAACGGCGGCCGUAACUAUAACGGUCCUAAGGUAGCGAAAUUCCUUGUCGGGUAAGUUCCGACCUGCACGAAUGGCGUAAUGAUGGCCAGGCUGUCUCCACCCGAGACUCAGUGAAAUUGAACUCGCUGUGAAGAUGCAGUGUACCCGCGGCAAGACGGAAAGACCCCGUGAACCUUUACUAUAGCUUGACACUGAACAUUGAGCCUUGAUGUGUAGGAUAGGUGGGAGGCUUUGAAGCGUGGACGCCAGUCUGCGUGGAGCCAACCUUGAAAUACCACCCUUUAAUGUUUGAUGUUCUAACGUUGGCCCCUUACCGGGGUUGCGGACAGUGUCUGGUGGGUAGUUUGACUGGGGCGGUCUCCUCCCAAAGCGUAACGGAGGAGCACGAAGGUUAGCUAAUCCUGGUCGGACAUCAGGAGGUUAGUGCAAUGGCAUAAGCUAGCUUGACUGCGAGCGUGACGGCGCGAGCAGGUGCGAAAGCAGGUCAUAGUGAUCCGGUGGUUCUGAAUGGAAGGGCCAUCGCUCAACGGAUAAAAGGUACUCCGGGGAUAACAGGCUGAUACCGCCCAAGAGUUCAUAUCGACGGCGGUGUUUGGCACCUCGAUGUCGGCUCAUCACAUCCUGGGGCUGAAGUAGGUCCCAAGGGUAUGGCUGUUCGCCAUUUAAAGUGGUACGCGAGCUGGGUUUAGAACGUCGUGAGACAGUUCGGUCCCUAUCUGCCGUGGGCGCUGGAGAAUUGAGGGGGGCUGCUCCUAGUACGAGAGGACCGGAGUGGACGCAUCACUGGUGUUCGGGUUGUCAUGCCAAUGGCACUGCCCGGUAGCUAAAUGCGGAAGAGAUAAGUGCUGAAAGCAUCUAAGCACGAAACUUGCCCCGAGAUGAGUUCUCCCUGAGACUUUAAGUCUCCUGAAGGAACGUUAAAGACGAUGACGUUGAUAGGCCGGGUGUGUAAGCGCAGCGAUGCGUUGAGCUAACCGGUACUAAUGAACCGUGAGGCUUAACCUUACAACGCCGAAG
Molecule: ribosomal RNA, 2923 nt
Filed under: Klebsiella pneumoniae
Lineage: Bacteria; Pseudomonadati; Pseudomonadota; Gammaproteobacteria; Enterobacterales; Enterobacteriaceae
Description: 23S ribosomal RNA
Rfam family: Bacterial large subunit ribosomal RNA
Source: RNAcentral